Molecule: small RNA, 393 nt
Filed under: Pontibacillus chungwhensis BH030062
Lineage: Bacteria; Bacillati; Bacillota; Bacilli; Caryophanales; Bacillaceae
Description: cspA thermoregulator
Rfam family: cspA thermoregulator
Source: Rfam by way of RNAcentral
GGUAACUUCAAUAGAAGUGUUCGGGAUUUGAUGAUCCUACAUUUCUAUUGGAGUUACCCUUUUUUAUGAAUUCUUUCAUCAACUUUGUAUUAUUACGUCUCACGUCAUUACGUGAAUGUUUUAGGAGGAUUUUACAAUGCAAAAUGGUACAGUAAAAUGGUUUAACGCAGAAAAAGGUUAUGGUUUCAUCCAAGUAGAAGGUGGAAACGAUGUAUUCGUACACUUCUCUGCGAUCCAAGAAGAAGGUUUCAAAACACUUGAAGAAGGUCAAAGCGUUUCUUUCGAAAUCGUAGAAGGCGACCGUGGCCCUCAAGCUGCUAACGUUGUUAAAAACUAAUUAAAUUAUAAAAAACGCACGACAUAUAGCGACAGCUCUUUAGAGCUGUCGCUUUU